Molecule: ribosomal RNA, 442 nt
Filed under: uncultured bacterium
Lineage: Bacteria
Description: partial 16S ribosomal RNA
Rfam family: Bacterial small subunit ribosomal RNA
Source: RNAcentral
CCUACGGGUGGCAGCAGUGGGGAAUAUUGGGCAAUGGACGCAAGUCUGACCCAGCAACGCCGCGUGAAGGAAGAAGGCUUUCGGGUUGUAAACUUCUUUUAUGAGGGAAGAGGAGAAGACGGUACCCCCUGAAUAAGCCACGGCUAACCAAGUGCCAACCGCCGCGGUAAUACCGAGGGGGCAAGCGUUGUCCGGAUUUAGUGGGUGUAAAGGGUGUGUAGGCGGGCCGACAAGUCAGAUGUGAAAUCCGCGGGCUUAACCCGGGAACUGCAUUUGAAACUGUAGGUCUUGAGUGCCGGAGAGGUAAUCGGAAUUCCGUGUGUAGCGGUGAAAUGCGUAGAUAUACGGAAGAACACCAGUGGCGAAGGCGGAUUACUGGACAGUAACUGACGGUGAGGCGCGAAAGCGUGGGGAGCAAACAGGAUUAGAUACCCUAGUAGUC